Molecule: long non-coding RNA, 306 nt
Organism: Hibiscus syriacus
Lineage: Eukaryota; Viridiplantae; Streptophyta; Magnoliopsida; Malvales; Malvaceae
Exons: 3
Source: RefSeq, a predicted model, not a curated record
AGGCCAUGCUUGUACAUCCUGACAAAAACAUGGGAAGUCUUUUAGCAAUUGAGUCAUUUAAGAAACUUCAAUGUGCUUAUGAGGUCCUUUCUGAUUCCAUGAAGAUGAGGGACUAUGAUGAGCAAUUGAGAUAAGAAGAAUCCAAGACUAGAAGUGUCUGUCAAAAGUCCCAUAGCUCUACACGGCAGCAAUCUACUUCAGAUCAUCGCUCUGAAGAAUCGAUCUGUAUACAGUGCACCAAGUGCGGUAAUUCACAUAUAUGGGUGUGCACGAACAGGACCAAGGCCAAGGCUAGGUGGUGUCAGG